GGUUAAGCGACUAAGCGUACACGGUGGAUGCCCUGGCAGUCAGAGGCGAUGAAGGACGUGCUAAUCUGCGAUAAGCGUCGGUAAGGUGAUAUGAACCGUUAUAACCGGCGAUUUCCGAAUGGGGAAACCCAGUGUGUUUCGACACACUAUCAUUAACUGAAUCCAUAGGUUAAUGAGGCGAACCGGGGGAACUGAAACAUCUAAGUACCCCGAGGAAAAGAAAUCAACCGAGAUUCCCCCAGUAGCGGCGAGCGAACGGGGAGCAGCCCAGAGCCUGAAUCAGUGUGUGUGUUAGUGGAAGCGUCUGGAAAGGCGCGCGAUACAGGGUGACAGCCCCGUACACAAAAAUGCACAUGCUGUGAGCUCGAUGAGUAGGGCGGGACACGUGGUAUCCUGUCUGAAUAUGGGGGGACCAUCCUCCAAGGCUAAAUACUCCUGACUGACCGAUAGUGAACCAGUACCGUGAGGGAAAGGCGAAAAGAACCCCGGCGAGGGGAGUGAAAAAGAACCUGAAACCGUGUACGUACAAGCAGUGGGAGCACGCUUAGGCGUGUGACUGCGUACCUUUUGUAUAAUGGGUCAGCGACUUAUAUUCUGUAGCAAGGUUAACCGAAUAGGGGAGCCGAAGGGAAACCGAGUCUUAACUGGGCGUUAAGUUGCAGGGUAUAGACCCGAAACCCGGUGAUCUAGCCAUGGGCAGGUUGAAGGUUGGGUAACACUAACUGGAGGACCGAACCGACUAAUGUUGAAAAAUUAGCGGAUGACUUGUGGCUGGGGGUGAAAGGCCAAUCAAACCGGGAGAUAGCUGGUUCUCCCCGAAAGCUAUUUAGGUAGCGCCUCGUGAAUUCAUCUCCGGGGGUAGAGCACUGUUUCGGCAAGGGGGUCAUCCCGACUUACCAACCCGAUGCAAACUGCGAAUACCGGAGAAUGUUAUCACGGGAGACACACGGCGGGUGCUAACGUCCGUCGUGAAGAGGGAAACAACCCAGACCGCCAGCUAAGGUCCCAAAGUCAUGGUUAAGUGGGAAACGAUGUGGGAAGGCCCAGACAGCCAGGAUGUUGGCUUAGAAGCAGCCAUCAUUUAAAGAAAGCGUAAUAGCUCACUGGUCGAGUCGGCCUGCGCGGAAGAUGUAACGGGGCUAAACCAUGCACCGAAGCUGCGGCAGCGACACUAUGUGUUGUUGGGUAGGGGAGCGUUCUGUAAGCCUGCGAAGGUGUGCUGUGAGGCAUGCUGGAGGUAUCAGAAGUGCGAAUGCUGACAUAAGUAACGAUAAAGCGGGUGAAAAGCCCGCUCGCCGGAAGACCAAGGGUUCGUGUCCAACGUUAAUCGGGGCAGGGUGAGUCGACCCCUAAGGCGAGGCCGAAAGGCGUAGUCGAUGGGAAACAGGUUAAUAUUCCUGUACUUGGUGUUACUGCGAAGGGGGGACGGAGAAGGCUAUGUUGGCCGGGCGACGGUUGUCCCGGUUUAAGCGUGUAGGCUGGUUUUCCAGGCAAAUCCGGAAAAUCAAGGCUGAGGCGUGAUGACGAGGCACUACGGUGCUGAAGCAACAAAUGCCCUGCUUCCAGGAAAAGCCUCUAAGCAUCAGGUAACAUCAAAUCGUACCCCAAACCGACACAGGUGGUCAGGUAGAGAAUACCAAGGCGCUUGAGAGAACUCGGGUGAAGGAACUAGGCAAAAUGGUGCCGUAACUUCGGGAGAAGGCACGCUGAUAUGUAGGUGAGGUCCCUCGCGGAUGGAGCUGAAAUCAGUCGAAGAUACCAGCUGGCUGCAACUUUUUAUAAAAAACACAGCACUGUGAAAACACGAAAGUGGACGUAUACGGUGUGAUGCCUGCCCGGUGCCGGAAGGUUAAUUGAUGGGGUUAGCCGCAAGGCGAAGCUCUUGAUCGAAGCCCCGGUAAACGGCGGCCGUAACUAUAACGGUCCUAAGGUAGCGAAAUUCCUUGUCGGGUAAGUUCCGACCUGCACGAAUGGCGUAAUGAUGGCCAGGCUGUCUCCACCCGAGACUCAGUGAAAUUGAACUCGCUGUGAAGAUGCAGUGUACCCGCGGCAAGACGGAAAGACCCCGUGAACCUUUACUAUAGCUUGACACUGAACAUUGAGCCUUGAUGUGUAGGAUAGGUGGGAGGCUUUGAAGUGUGGACGCCAGUCUGCAUGGAGCCGACCUUGAAAUACCACCCUUUAAUGUUUGAUGUUCUAACGUUGACCCGUAAUCCGGGUUGCGGACAGUGUCUGGUGGGUAGUUUGACUGGGGCGGUCUCCUCCUAAAGAGUACCGGAGGAGCACGAAGGUUGGCUAAUCCUGGUCGGACAUCAGGAGGUUAGUGCAAUGGCAUAAGCCAGCUUGACUGCGAGCGUGACGGCGCGAGCAGGUGCGAAAGCAGGUCAUAGUGAUCCGGUGGUUCUGAAUGGAAGGGCCAUCGCUCAACGGAUAAAAGGUACUCCGGGGAUAACAGGCUGAUACCGCCCAAGAGUUCAUAUCGACGGCGGUGUUUGGCACCUCGAUGUCGGCUCAUCACAUCCUGGGGCUGAAGUAGGUCCCAAGGGUAUGGCUGUUCGCCAUUUAAAGUGGUACGCGAGCUGGGUUUAGAACGUCGUGAGACAGUUCGGUCCCUAUCUGCCGUGGGCGCUGGAGAACUGAGGGGGGCUGCUCCUAGUACGAGAGGACCGGAGUGGACGCAUCACUGGUGUUCGGGUUGUCAUGCCAAUGGCACUGCCCGGUAGCUAAAUGCGGAAGAGAUAAGUGCUGAAAGCAUCUAAGCACGAAACUUGCCCCGAGAUGAGUUCUCCCUGAC
This 2794-nucleotide ribosomal RNA is filed under the name Escherichia coli XH140A. Its description in RNAcentral is "bacterial LSU rRNA". It matches the Rfam family "Bacterial large subunit ribosomal RNA". Lineage: Bacteria; Pseudomonadati; Pseudomonadota; Gammaproteobacteria; Enterobacterales; Enterobacteriaceae. The record is from RNAcentral.